RNAcentral lists this long non-coding RNA (613 nucleotides) under Zea mays. RNAcentral's name for it is "long non-coding RNA NONZMAT000046". The record is from RNAcentral. Lineage: Eukaryota; Viridiplantae; Streptophyta; Magnoliopsida; Poales; Poaceae.
CCCACGCCCCUCCCCCUCUUGAUAAGCCCACGUCGGCGGCAGGGGGGGCGGCCGCCAGGCUUGCUAUAGCUGGUCCAUGGCACCAUACAUGUAAGCACGCACACAGGCACACACACACACGCACGCAAUGAUCUACGUAUCUAGCAGCAGCUUAUCAUGUCGUCAUCAUGCAUGCAUGGCCGACGGAGGUCGUCAUCUUAUCUGGGAGCGUGUGUGUCUUGGCAAUGGGAAGCUGCAUGCGCCUCUCGGGCGUCGGCGCGUCGGCGCCUAGCUGUAGGGCGGCGUGCCAUAGAGCUGCCUCCUGCCGCUCACACCAUGCUGUUGACGAGGACUGAUGGUGGCCAUGGCCUCUCGGCGUCGGUGGCGGCGGCGCCGGCGCCGAGUUUUACCUCUCUACUAAGGUAGGGCAACUUGUAUCCUUUGGCAAUUGUUCUCAUCUAUCUGGGUCUGUCUGUUGGCUGCCCGGUGACGGUAUACGGUGAUGUUCUAAUAGUACUCAAUUGGUCUUGGAUCGGAGUUCAUGCUACGGCUCCUCUGUUAUAUAUUACACGGCUGACGGCUCCUUAUUAAUGUGUACGUUGAUGAUGUCAUUAAUAAUAUGAAUCUGAUAUUG